This 114-nucleotide microRNA precursor is filed under the name Chlorocebus sabaeus (green monkey). RNAcentral describes it as "miRNA (ENSCSAG00000024481.1)". The record is from RNAcentral. Lineage: Eukaryota; Metazoa; Chordata; Mammalia; Primates; Cercopithecidae.
UAUUAGGUUGGUGCAAAAGUAAUUGCGUUUUUUUUUGCCAUUACCUUUAAAAAAUCGCAGUUGCCAUUACCUGCAAAAACCGCAAAUACUUUUGCACCUACCUAAUAUUUUCUA